GAUGAAGAACGCAGCGAAAUGCGAUAAGUAAUGUGAAUUGCAGAAUUCCGUGAAUCAUCGAAUCUUUGAACGCACAUUGCGCCCGCCAGUAUUCUGGCGGGCAUGCCUGUUCGAGCGUCAUUUCAACCCUCAAGCCCCCGGGCUUGGUGUUGGGGCUCGGCCCGUCCCUAGCGGAUGCGCCGUCCCCGAAAUCUAGUGGCGGUCUCGCUGUAGCCUCCUCUGCGUAGUAGCUAACACCUCGCAAUGGGAACGCAGCGCGGCCACGCCGUUAAACCCCCCACUUCUGAAGGUUGACCUCGGAUCAGGUAGGAAUACCCGCUGAACUUAAGCAUAUCAAUAAGCGGAGGA
Molecule: unclassified non-coding RNA, 348 nt
Filed under: soil metagenome
Description: partial contains 5.8S ribosomal RNA, internal transcribed spacer 2, and large subunit ribosomal RNA
Rfam family: 5.8S ribosomal RNA (bases 1-120)
Source: RNAcentral